This 510-nucleotide ribosomal RNA is filed under the name uncultured microorganism. RNAcentral describes it as "bacterial SSU rRNA". It matches the Rfam family "Bacterial small subunit ribosomal RNA", at positions 9 to 524 of the family's 1533-position model. The record is from RNAcentral.
GAGUUUGAUCGUGGCUCAGGAUAAACGCUGGCGGCGCACAUAAGACAUGCAAGUCGAACGAACUUAAUUUUAAUAUUUAUAUUAAAAAGCGGUUAGUGGCGGACUGGUGAGUAACGCGUAAGCAAUCUGCCUAUCAGAGGGGAAUAACAGUGAGAAAUCAUUGCUAAUACCGCAUAUGCCAUAAGAAUCACAUGAUUCUAGUGGGAAAGGAGCAAUCCACUGAUAGAUGAGCUUGCGUCUGAUUAGCUAGUUGGUGGGAUAACGGCCUACCAAGGCGACGAUCAGUAGCCGGACUGAGAGGUUGAACGGCCACAUUGGGACUGAGAUACGGCCCAGACUCCUACGGGAGGCAGCAGUCGGGAAUAUUGCGCAAUGGAGGAAACUCUGACGCAGUGACGCCGCGUAUAGGAAGAAGGUUUUCGGAUUGUAAACUAUUGUCGUUAGGGAAGAUAAAAAGACAGUACCUAAGGAGGAAGCUCCGGCUAACUACGUGCCAGCCGCCGCCGUAAC